This 576-nucleotide ribosomal RNA is filed under the name Triticum aestivum (bread wheat). RNAcentral's name for it is "partial small subunit ribosomal RNA". Lineage: Eukaryota; Viridiplantae; Streptophyta; Magnoliopsida; Poales; Poaceae. The record is from RNAcentral.
AUGAGUAAUGCUACUUUCUCUAUCUGCUCGUGGAAUGUACAUGGUCUAGGCGACGAUGCCAAAUGCUUUGACGUUCUCUCUGAACUGAUCUCGACCAAUCCUCACAUUGGCUUAUUACAAGAGUCAAAACUCGAUACGUUCACUGACCCAAAGCUAAGAUCCUUCCCGCCUCGGCAGCUAGACCAAGUUUUCUCCUUACUAGCCGUGGGUACGGCGGGUGGAACCAUUUCUACCGUUAACACUGCCUCCUUCCAAGUGAUCUCCUUCAACCACCUCGCUUUCUCUUCAACCUUGAUCUUGCGAUCAAGGGCAACCGACCGCAACAUAGCCAUCACCAAUAUUUACGCCCCCUCCUCCCGCACUCUCAAGCAAUCCUUCCUCAGUGAGUUACUAGCUAUUGCCCAACCAGACGACUCACCCUGGCUACUUGUGGGAGACUUCAACCUCUUCCGUUUCCCCUCUGACAAAAAUAAUGACGCGUUUAGACAAUCCGAGGCCAAUGCAUUUAACCAAACUCUUAAUGAACUAGCCCUUGUCGAACUACCGCUUCUAGAUCGCCAAUUCACAUGGUCCAAC